UACGUAGGGUGCGAGCGUUAAUCGGAUUUACUGGGCGUAAAGCGUGCGCAGGCGGCCCGUUAAGACAGAUGUGAAAUCCCUGGGCUCAACCUAGGAAUUGCGCUUGUGACUGGCGGGCUCGAGUACGGUAGAGGGGGGUGGAAUUCCUGGUGUAGCAGUGAAAUGCGUAGAGAUCAGGAGGAACACCGAUGGCGAAGGCAGCCCCCUGGGCGUGUACUGACGCUCAUGCACGAAAGCGUGGGGAGCAAACAGG
This 253-nucleotide ribosomal RNA is filed under the name uncultured microorganism. RNAcentral describes it as "partial 16S ribosomal RNA". It matches the Rfam family "Bacterial small subunit ribosomal RNA", at positions 524 to 776 of the family's 1533-position model. The record is from RNAcentral.